This 1833-nucleotide long non-coding RNA is filed under the name Gopherus agassizii (Agassiz's desert tortoise). RNAcentral describes it as "lncRNA (ENSGAGG00000015985.1)". Lineage: Eukaryota; Metazoa; Chordata; Testudines; Testudinidae. The record is from RNAcentral.
CAGCCGCUGGCUCCAGAUACUCUGAACCUCACGGUUGAGCUGCAGGGUCCCGGUCACAGCGGUGCCUCCCUUAGACAGACAACGUUUGAGGUCUCCGCUGCUGAUCAGCUCGGCUCCACCGUGACCCUGCCUGUGGAGAGGGAGCAGCUGGCUGAGCAGUCCCAGGCGGGUGACCCGGAGCGGAGCAGGUCUGCGUAUAGAACCCAGGAGCUGGAAAUCGUCUCCAAUGAAAGCGCCGUUUCCCUAGGCUCCAGCUCCUUUGCGACCUCCACCCCGCUGAUGGGGCCAGCCAAGUUCCACUUUGUGACAGGCAGUCCCCUGGGAGAUGACUUGGACCAGAGGGACCCAAACGCCUCCAGGCGUUCAGUGCCGAGAGAGCUCCCCUGCCCCAGCCAGGCUGGCUCCAAGUCUGCGGCCCCCGAGGUAGCCCAGAGCGCCGUGCCCCCGUGCGGGAACCUACCCGAAGGAGAGUCCCGUGACAGGGUCACUCUCAAGCCACCUCCGAAGAGUGCUGCCUUGCCUGGCUCUUCCAGAAGCUACGCCAGUACUGAAGGCCAAGCUGCUAUCAAAUCACAGCCCCUGGCCUUUACCACCCCAAGAGCAAGUCGGAGUCUGGCCCUCGCUUCCUUUGAGUCUCGGAAAGCUUCUCGGGAGCUGCUGAGAGCAGGCCUGCCUCCAAGGAGCAGAGGCAUCGCCUCGGAGGGGAAAGCAACAAGACUGUCUCUGGGUAACUGCCGACCCAGCAUGCAGAAAGCAGCUGCCACUGGAAAAACCAGCCAGGGCUCCAACGUGGAGAUCCAGCCUGCUGCCCAACUCCCUGCCAGCGGCACUGUGAAGCGGAGUGCUACAAAGCUACCUUGCAGUGAGAAGUGCCUCUCAUCCCUCCAGCCUCCUACCAAAGGCCCAGGACUUAGCAGCAGCAGCAGACCCUUGCUCAUGGGAUCCCGGGUUUCUGUGGGUCCAGGGAUCCUCUGCAUGAGCAAAGGGGCUGGAGCUCCUGGAACCAAACUCCCAACUCACCCAGGUGCCAGGCUAAGACUAAUGAAGCCCAGACCCAGCAGCAUGCAGCACAUCAAUGGGACCCUGCAGCCAACAUGCACUCUUCCCACUGGGCAUCAAGGAGCCAGAUCCAGCCCCCAGGACAAAGAGACAGAAACAGGUGUUGCCAAACCUGGCUGCAACAAACUGCCUGUUCGAAGGGCUGCCACCACCGCGAUUCCUGCCAGGGCUCCCCACUCCCGACUGAGACCAACAGGGAGGACAACAGCCUCCCCCAGAAGGCUCCCUUCCCCCAAGCGAGCUCGCCUAGCUAAAGACACUAACUCAGCAGCAGUUGCACAAGCCCUGGAGCCCAGUGGAGGCGAAGGAGACACUGAGGACAGACCAGUGCUGGCUGUGGGGGCGGACUGCACCAGUGCAGGUGGAAUGGCCCAGCCUCAGAGAGGUGGGAAUUCCCCAGCUCCUCUCACUUUCCUCCCUGACUCUGCCCUGGAGAGUGGAGGUGCAGCAUCCUCCAUGCAGCUUCCAGAUCAGCUGCUCUCCCAGGAGCUGCAGAGAGUAAGGAGUGAGCUGCAGAGAGUGAAGAAUGAGCUUGCUGCAAGAGAUGCCCAAUGUGAAGCCUAUCGAAGGACGAUCUCCUCCCUGGAGGCCCAGCUGAGGGCAGGCUCCCUCCCGGAGGGCUGGGACACAAAAGACUGUGCCUUGGAAGGCGAGUGACAGCGAAGCAUGGAGGGCCUGUAUCUGCCUGUUAAAAUAGCUUCUCUAGCUGGCUCCUCGGAGGGGUGUACUGCUCUGUACAGUCUGAAGGAAAACCCUGCAGCCCCGCCCCUGGAG